Non-coding RNA from Podarcis lilfordi (Lilford's wall lizard), 107 nucleotides. The record is from the annotation of a GenBank genome assembly. Lineage: Eukaryota; Metazoa; Chordata; Lepidosauria; Squamata; Lacertidae.
UCCCGCUGAGUAUUGGCUUGGUUUUUUCCCUUCUAGCCUGCAGGUGCUGAAUUCUGUGGGGUGCCAGAAGGCUAAAAGGGAAAAAACCGAGCCGACGCUUGGUGGGA